GUCAAAAAAUAUUUUGAAUUCGGAUCAAACAAUAUAGUAUGCUUCUGGGCUAGUUCAAUUAGUAGGAAUAAGUGUGUUUUUCACGGAGGCGGAUCAAUCAAUUGGGCUUUAGCAAAAAAAAAAAUUGUUGUUUCUCUUUAAUACUCUAACAAUGGUACAUCUGUGUCACAAACAAAAUGAUUCGUAUUCAGCAUAUAAUUGUCUCUGAGGGGAAGUGAUCCGCAUGAUCUGCAUAUAUUAAAUCUAAUAUUAACUGAAAAAAAUAUUAAGUGAAAAUAUUUUGAAUUUCUGAAUUUAUAACAUAUGCUGGCCUAUUCUUG
This 320-nucleotide long non-coding RNA is filed under the name Brassica rapa (field mustard). RNAcentral describes it as "long non-coding RNA (BRAP_LNC001489)". The record is from RNAcentral. Lineage: Eukaryota; Viridiplantae; Streptophyta; Magnoliopsida; Brassicales; Brassicaceae.